Long non-coding RNA from Bos taurus (domestic cattle), 543 nucleotides. The record is from Ensembl. Lineage: Eukaryota; Metazoa; Chordata; Mammalia; Artiodactyla; Bovidae.
GGGUAUCCAGAUUCUACAAUUCCUGGUUAGCCCCAGGAAAGCUCACAAUUGUUUUCAAGCCAUGAGGGAAGGCAACUGCAGGAUUCCUUGUACUCGGUUGGAGGACAGCCUCCUAGACCCGUGUGUCAUCUGAACUCCAGGGAUGGGAAGAUACCAUGAUGUAAAGCAAUCCAAGCCUGUGCCUUUGAGACCGGGAACCUGGCAAAAUAGCUCCAAGCCUAAUCCUCUUAAGGUGAUAUAAGUCACUGAUUCCUUCCUCUAGUCCUCCAUAAGAACAGUUUAAAGUGUCUCCAAAGACUCCACCUUGAAGAGAGGGGCAUUAAGGAACUUGUGGACAGAUUUUUAAAACGCUACCACCUCUAUUAAGGACAUUAUAAGAAGCAGACCUCUGAAAUUCAUAUUUCUCACUGGAGCCAAAAUAGCUAUGUUUACCUUGAGCACCCAGUUUGCUUUUAUUUUUUUAUGUUGUGACUCACUCUGUAAAUUGUGUUUCCCUCUUUUCUCAGCUGUCAAGAAGCUCAAAAUAAAAAUUUGGCUUACCUC